This 820-nucleotide ribosomal RNA is filed under the name Rhipicephalus sanguineus (brown dog tick). Its description in RNAcentral is "bacterial SSU rRNA". The stretch from base 1 to 712 matches the Rfam family "Eukaryotic small subunit ribosomal RNA", at positions 959 to 1831 of the family's 1831-position model. Lineage: Eukaryota; Metazoa; Arthropoda; Arachnida; Ixodida; Ixodidae. The record is from RNAcentral.
CAAGAAUGUUUUUCAUGAUCAAGAACGAAAGUCAGAGGUUGGAAGGCGAUCAGAUACCGCCCUAGUUCUGACCAUAAACGAUGCCAACCAGCGAUCCGCUGAGUUACUCAAAAUGACUCGGCGGGCAGCUUCCGGGAAACCAAAGUAUUUGGGUUCCGGGGGAAGUAUGGUUGCAAAGCUGAAACUUAAAGGAAUUGACGGAAGGGCACCACCAGGAGUGGAGCCUGCGGCUUAAUUUGACUCAACACGGGAAAACUUACCCGGCCCGGACACUGGGAGGAUUGACAGAUUGAGAGCUCUUUCUUGAUUCGGUGGAUGGUGGUGCAUGGCCGUUCUUAGUUGGUGGAGCGAUUUGUCUGGUUAAUUCCGAUAACGAACGAGACUCUAGCCUAUUAAAUAGGUGCGGGGUUCCCAGCACCUUACAACCUUCUUAGAGGGACAAGCGGCUCCUAGCCGCACGAAACAGAGCAAUAACAGGUCUGUGAUGCCCUUAGAUGUCCGGGGCCGCACGCGCGCUACACUGAAGGAAGCAGCGUGUCUUUAUCCCUGUCUGAAAAGACUGGGUAACCCGUGGAACUUCUUUCGUGAUUGGGAUAGGGGCUUGCAAUUGUUCCCCUUGAACGAGGAAUUCCCAGUAAGCGCGAGUCAUAAGCUCGCGCCAUUAGUUAUAACCCCUUUAACACGCCAGUAGUCAUAACAUCGUGGAUCAUGCCAGUAGUAGUUAUUCGGUCGAUCCUUCCAGAAGUCGUAACGCCUCGUCCGCCUUAACAAGUAAUAACGUGGUCAUCCCUAUAACUAGUAAGACCGGUCUCAGAGUCUG